Molecule: ribosomal RNA, 279 nt
Filed under: Anolis carolinensis (green anole)
Lineage: Eukaryota; Metazoa; Chordata; Lepidosauria; Squamata; Anolidae
Description: partial 16S ribosomal RNA
Rfam family: Bacterial large subunit ribosomal RNA
Source: RNAcentral
UUAAACGGCCGCGGUAUUCUAACCGUGCAAAGGUAGCGUAAUCACUUGUCUCCUAAAUAGGGACCUGUAUGAACGGCUAAAUGAAUAUUUAACUGUCUCUUUUAACUAAUCAGUGAAACUGAUCUUCCAGUACAAAAGCUGGGAUAAUAAUAUAAGACGAAAAGACCCUGUGGAGCUUUAAAUUUCAACCAACAUAUAAUUAUCACAGUUAUUUAUGCUUAACAUUUUAAGUUGGGGCGACUUCGGAUAAAAACUAAACAUCCGAGCAAAUAAGCACUG